UUUAGAACUCAAGAUAUGAGCUGAAAAUCGAAUAGUGUCUGAACUGCAUGACAGGUUCUGACUUCUUCGUUGUUGCUAAGAUUUGAGCAUGAAAGUUUUAGGUCUAUGUCUUAGCUUUUCAUCCAUAUAAAGUAGACCUAAAUCCGAGUUCUACA
Molecule: microRNA precursor, 155 nt
Filed under: Populus trichocarpa (black cottonwood)
Lineage: Eukaryota; Viridiplantae; Streptophyta; Magnoliopsida; Malpighiales; Salicaceae
Description: MIR2912 microRNA precursor family
Rfam family: MIR2912 microRNA precursor family
Source: Rfam by way of RNAcentral